Molecule: long non-coding RNA, 2114 nt
Organism: Daktulosphaira vitifoliae (grape phylloxera)
Lineage: Eukaryota; Metazoa; Arthropoda; Insecta; Hemiptera; Phylloxeridae
Exons: 4
Source: RefSeq, a predicted model, not a curated record
AAAAGAUAUACUACUACUUGUUGUACCCAAUUUAAAUAUAUUAGUUGUGUAGCAAAUAUAAUACUAAUUAACGCAAAUUGUUAAUGUAGAUUUUUUAGACACAAAAAUAAUUUUGACAUACGAUUUCAUAGCAAUACACUUAUUUUAAUGACAAUAACGAACUAUAAAAUAGAAACUACAAUAUGAGGUGCACUGUUCAAUAUAAAUUUGACACUUGUUCGCCUACAUGAUCAUUAUUGCGGUAAAAUAAAUUAUCUUUUCAAAAAGUGACUUUGAUUGAUUGAAUCAUGUGCAUAAGGGACUGAAAAUGACACUUUUCUAUCAAUUCCACUCGGACUUCUACUACGAUAUGGACACUCUAUGCGUUUAUCUUGUUACUUUUCGCCAUCCAAUCAGGAUAGUCAAACUAUGAAAGUAUAACUAGUGUUGAUUUUUGGAUGAACGAAAAAAUCAUGGCUUCGUAAAAAUAUCUAAUUUGAACGAUGUAUCGUUUUGCUAUGUUCUAGUAUUACUAUUGUUUUUGUUAUUUUUCUCGAGGUCACAAUGUGUUCAUCAAUCAUAUUGAAUUCUUAUAUAACUGCCAAUUUAAAACAUGCUUAGUCUGUGCAGAAAAUAAGCAUAUAGUGUUGUGAAUAUAUGCUUUGUCGGACAGUUGAACCGUCUCAGAAACCCUACAGAGAAAUAACAACCAACUGCUCGAGAGGAAAUAACGAAUAUUGCGGUUAUUUCUAUGGUUGUGUACGUAACGGGUACAAGUGGCACGCUGUUCGUUUAAGAUACUGAGAAGUGGGAUUCGUUUAUGUUAUGUACACAAUAAAGUAUAUAACACAAAUACAUACAUAUAUUAUCCUGAUGUCACCGACAUUGAUCCCGCCGAAAAAUAGCAGUGGAAACUUUGGAUAGUGUAAUACUAAUUACUAAAGAUCAUACAUAAGGGGAAAAAAUGUUUGUCGCCUUUUUUUAUGCGAAUCGAUUCACAAUAAAAAUAUAAAAGCAAAAUGUCAAAAUUGUUUUAAAUUAGUCAGUGGAACGACAACUUCAAAUGACAACUUUUUAAGUAACCAAAAGAGUGAUUAAUAAAGGAUAAAGCACUCAUUUUCUCAGAAACUACCAAAAAUGUUUCAUUUUCUUAAAGGAAAAUAUUAUUUAAUUCAAAAACUCAACAAUAAUAUGUCAUUAAAUACAUUUUUUUUCAUUCCUUCAGAGAUAAAAAAAACUUUCGUUAAUUAUAAGAAUAUAUAUAUCUAGAAUAGACUUAAUUAUUAAUGAUAAGAUUUCUGUAUAGUGGAUUAUAUCGAAUUGUACCAGAAACAAAUAGUAUGCUAAAUGGUAAAUUAUCAAUAGAUAAAAAUAGAGUCAAAAGUUACUAAACAUGCAAAAACAGAAAAAUGAUUCAUCAGAUAAAAUAAUUAUAAGAUCAAUUUUUUUCCUAUUGUAUCAUUAAACUAAAUAUAGAGCUUUCCAAUUCAGAAAUUUAAAGUUUAAGUUGCUUAUCUAUGAAAUGAUUAAAAAAAUAUCUUUAUCUACAUAUUAUUAUAAAGAUUUUUACAUUCGUAAAGAAAAAAUUACCUGAUUCAAAAAUUUCUAUAAUAAUACGAAUUUAAAAUUUGUUUUUUAUCUCUUCAAGGAUAAAUAUCAAAACUUUAAUUUUCUUUAACAAGAACAAAUAUAGCUGUAUGACUUAACUCAGAUGAUAACUCGCAGAGUUAGUAAUCUUUAUUAGAUUAGUUAGAUCUUUUGCCGUUCGAGUGUUUAGCAGCUAUAUUCUAUUUAGACGGUUUAUUUCUUUCUCUCAUAAAGUAUAGGUUAUGGCGAUUGAUUAUUAACUACAGAGUUUAUUCGUCUUUUAGUAAAAGACUAAAGUAAAACUUAAUGAUUUGUAUUUAAACUUUAAUUCAAUUCUUACUUUCAUCGUUAGCGGUUCUGAUUCUUUAUGUAUUUAAUUUCAUCAUAAAUAAAUGUACUAUUAUUAUUUACUCUAGAAUAUUAUGAGACUAUACUUAAUGGUUUGAAUACAACUGAUAUUAUCGUGUUUGAUGAGAUAAAUUGCAUGCAAUGUUUUACUAAACUGCAUAUCAUUAAUUACUUCAUAUUAAUUAUCUCAAUGUUUCCAA